GAAUCAAAGCCAGAGAAAUCACCAUUCCUCUGGCGAUAGCAGAGAAAUCACCAUUCCUCUGGCGAUAGCAUUACCCUGGCGAGGCCCGUUCCCCUGGCGAUAGCCGUUCCUCUGGCGAGAGCUGCGAAUUCGGCAAGAGUGGGAGUAUUUUCCAGAGCGCGCAUCCAGCUGGAGAGUUGCCUUAUUUUACACGAUUCUAUUACCUUUAGAAUUCUACUUUGCAUGGCAACUUCCAUGGUGAU
Molecule: long non-coding RNA, 242 nt
Filed under: Salvia miltiorrhiza (redroot sage)
Lineage: Eukaryota; Viridiplantae; Streptophyta; Magnoliopsida; Lamiales; Lamiaceae
Description: long non-coding RNA (SMIL_LNC013265)
Source: RNAcentral